UUUUGGACAAUGGGCGAAAGCCUGAUCCAGCAAUGCCGCGUGUGGGAAGAAGGCCUUCGGGUUGUAAACCACUUUUGUACGGAACGAAACGGUCUGCUUUGAUACAGUGGGCUAAUGACGGUACCGUAAGAAUAAGCACCGGCUAACUACGUGCCAGCAGCCGCGGUAAUACGUAGGGUGCGAGCGUUAAUCGGAAUUACUGGGCGUAAAGCGUGCGCAGGCGGUUAUAUAAGACAGUUGUGAAAUCCCCGGGCUCAACCUGGGAAUUGCAUCUGUGACUGUAUAGCUAGAGUACGGUAGAGGGGGAUGGAAUUCCGCGUGUAGCAGUGAAAUGCGUAGAUAUGCGGAGGAACACCGAUGGCGAAGGCAAUCCCCUGGACCUGUACUGACGCUCAUCACGAA
This 402-nucleotide ribosomal RNA is filed under the name uncultured bacterium. Its description in RNAcentral is "bacterial SSU rRNA". It matches the Rfam family "Bacterial small subunit ribosomal RNA", at positions 362 to 757 of the family's 1533-position model. The record is from RNAcentral.